GCUUAACACAUGCAAGUCGAACGCAACCUUCGGGUUGAGUGGCGGACGGGUGAGUAACGCGUGAGAAUCUGCCUUGGGGUCGGGGACAACCACUGGAAACGGUGGCUAAUACCGGAUAAGCCUUUGGGUAAAAGAUUUAUUGCCCCAAGAGGAGCUCGCGUCUGAUUAGCUAGUUGGUGAGGUAAAAGCUCACCAAGGCAGCGAUCAGUAGCUGGUCUGAGAGGACGAUCAGCCACACUGGGACUGAGACACGGCCCAGACUCCUACGGGAGGCAGCAGUGGGGAAUUUUCCGCAAUGGGCGAAAGCCUGACGGAGCAAGACCGCGUGAGGGAGGAAGGCUCUUGGGUUGUAAACCUCUUUUCUCAGGGAAGAAGCUCUGACGGUACCUGAGGAAUCAGCCUCGGCUAACUCCGUGCCAGCAGCCGCGGUAAUACGGAGGAGGCAAGCGUUAUCCGGAAUUAUUGGGCGUAAAGCGUCCGCAGGUGGCGAUUCAAGUCUGCUGUCAAAGCACGGGGCUUAACUCCGUUAAGGCAGUGGAAACUGAAUAGCUAGAGUGCCGUAGGGGUAGAGGGAAUUCCCGGUGUAGCGGUGAAAUGCGUAGAGAUCGGGAAGAACAUCGGUGGCGAAAGCGCUCUACUGGACGGCAACUGACACUCAGGGACGAAAGCUAGGGGAGCGAAUGGGAUUAGAUACCCCAGUAGUCCUAGCUGUAAACGAUGGAUACUAGGUGUAGCUUGUAUCGACCCGAGCUGUGCCGAAGCUAACGCGCUAAGUAUCCCGCCUGGGGAGUACGCACGCAAGUGUGAAACUCAAAGGAAUUGACGGGGGCCCGCACAAGCGAUGGAGUAUGUGGUUUAAUUCGAUGCAACGCGAAGAACCUUACCAGGGCUUGACAUGUCAGGAAUCCCGGUGAAAGCUGGGAGUGCCUUCGGGAGCCGGAACACAGGUGAUGCAUGGCGGUCGUCAGCUCGUGUCGUGAGAUGUUGGAUUAAGUCCCGCAACGAGCGCAACCCUCGUCUUUAGUCGCCAGCAUUAAGUUGGGCUACUCUAGAGAGACUGCCGGUGACAAACCGGAGGAAGGUGGGGAUGACGUCAAGUCAGCAUGCCCCUUACGCUUUGGGCGACACACGUACU
This 1135-nucleotide ribosomal RNA is filed under the name uncultured organism. Its description in RNAcentral is "bacterial SSU rRNA". It matches the Rfam family "Bacterial small subunit ribosomal RNA", at positions 46 to 1226 of the family's 1533-position model. The record is from RNAcentral.